Molecule: ribosomal RNA, 560 nt
Filed under: Entoloma wayanadense
Lineage: Eukaryota; Fungi; Basidiomycota; Agaricomycetes; Agaricales; Entolomataceae
Description: LSU rRNA
Rfam family: Eukaryotic large subunit ribosomal RNA
Source: RNAcentral
UCCCCUAGUAACUGCGAGUGAAGCGGGAAGAGCUCAAAUUUAAAAUCUGGCAGUUCUUGGGCUGUCCGAAUUGUAAUCUAGAGAAGCAUUAUCCGCACUGGACUGUGUACAAGUCUUCUGGAAUGGAGCAUCAUAGAGGGUGAGAAUCCCGUCUUUGACACAGACUACCAGAGCUUUGUGAUGUGCUCUCAAAGAGUCGAGUUGUUUGGGAAUGCAGCUCCAAAUGGGUGGUAAAUUCCAUCUAAAGCUAAAUAUUGGCGAGAGACCGAUAGCGAACAAGUACCGUGAGGGAAAGAUGAAAAGAACUUUGGAAAGAGAGUUAAACAGUACGUGAAAUUGUUGAAAGGGAAACGCUUGAAGUUAGUCACAUUGGUUUAGAGAUCAACCUCACUCUGUUUGGGUGUGGUGUACUUUCUAAUCAAUGGGUCAGCAUCAAUUUUGACCAGUGGAAAAAAUUCAAGUGAAUGUAGCAUCUUUUCGAUGUGUUAUAGCUCUUGUCUACAUACAUUGGUUGAGAUUGAGGAACUCAGCAUGCUGAAAGGCCAGGUUUUUUUUUUUAA